AUAUAUGGUAGGAGAGCGUUCUGUAAGCCUGCGAAGGUGUCUUGUAAAGGAUGCUGGAGGUAUCAGAAGUGCGAAUGCUGACAUGAGUAGCGAUAAUGGGGGUGAAAAGCCUCCACGCCGUAAGCCCAAGGUUUCCUGUUCAACGUUCAUCGGAGCAGGGUGAGUCGGCCCCUAAGGCGAGGCAGAGAUGCGUAGCUGAUGGGAAGCAGGUUAAUAUUCCUGCACCGUCGUAUGAUGCGAUGGGGGGACGGAUCGCGGAAGGUUGUCCAACUGUUGGAAUAGUUGGUUUUUGGCUCAUAGAAGGCGCUUAGGCAAAUCCGGGCGCGCAAUUCAAGGGGUUGAGACGAGUGCACUUGUGCACGAAGCAAUCGGAAGUGGUUCCAAGAAAAGCCUCUAAGCUUCAGUCAUACGAGACCGUACCGCAAACCGACACAGGUGGGCGAGAUGAGUAUUCUAAGGCGCUUGAGAGAACUCGGGAGAAGGAACUCGGCAAAUUGGUACCGUAACUUCGGGAAAAGGUACGCCCCGGUAGCUUGAUUGGUUUACUCCAUGAGGGUGAAAGGGUUGCAAUAAACUGGUGGCUGCGACUGUUUAAUAAAAACACAGCACUCUGCAAACACGAAAGUGGACGUAUAGGGUGUGACGCCUGCCCGGUGCUGGAAGAUUAAAUGAUGGGGUGCAAGCUCUUGAUUGAAGUCCCAGUAAACGGCGGCCGUAACUAUAACGGUCCUAAGGUAGCGAAAUUCCUUGUCGGGUAAGUUCCGACCUGCACGAAUGGCGUAACGAUGGCCACACUGUCUCCUCCCGAGACUCAGCGAAGUUGAAAUGUUUGUGAUGAUGCAAUCUACCCGCGGCUAGACGGAAAGACCCCAUGAACCUUUACUGUAGCUUUGCAUUGGACUUUGAACCAAUCUGUGUAGGAUAGGUGGGAGGCUUUGAAGCGGGGACGCUAGUUCUCGUGGAGCCAACCUUGAAAUACCACCCUGGUUUGUUUGAGGUUCUAACCUUGGUCCGUUAUCCGGAUCGGGGACAGUGCAUGGUAGGCAGUUUGACUGGGGCGGUCUCCUCCUAAAGUGUAACGGAGGAGUUCGAAGGUACGCUAGAUACGGUCGGACAUCGUGUUGAUAGUGCAAUGGCAUAAGCGUGCUUAACUGCGAGACUGACAAGUCGAGCAGGUACGAAAGUAGGACAUAGUGAUCCGGUGGUUCUGUAUGGAAGGGCCAUCGCUCAACGGAUAAAAGGUACUCUGGGGAUAACAGGCUGAUUCCUCCCAAGAGUUCAUAUCGACGGGGGAGUUUGGCACCUCGAUGUCGGCUCAUCACAUCCUGGGGCUGUAGCCGGUCCCAAGGGUAUGGCUGUUCGCCAUUUAAAGUGGUACGUGAGCUGGGUUUAAAACGUCGUGAGACAGUUUGGUCCCUAUCUGCCGUGGGCGUUGGAAAUUUGAAGGGGGCUGCUCCUAGUACGAGAGGACCGGAGUGGACGAACCUCUGGUGUACCGGUUGUCACGCCAGUGGCAUUGCCGGGUAGCUAAGUUCGGAAGAGAUAACCGCUGAAAGCAUCUAAGCGGGAAACUUGCCUUGAGAUGAGAUUUCCCAGAGCCUUGAGCUCUUUGAAGGGUCGUUCGAGACCAGGACGUUGAUAGGCUGGGUGUGGAAGUGCAGUAAUGCAUUAAGCUAACCAGUACUAAUUGCCCGUACGGCUUGUCCC
RNAcentral lists this ribosomal RNA (1707 nucleotides) under Janthinobacterium sp. YR213. RNAcentral describes it as "bacterial LSU rRNA". It matches the Rfam family "Bacterial large subunit ribosomal RNA", at positions 1221 to 2925 of the family's 2925-position model. The record is from RNAcentral. Lineage: Bacteria; Pseudomonadati; Pseudomonadota; Betaproteobacteria; Burkholderiales; Oxalobacteraceae.